AACGCACAUUGCGCCCUUCGGCUAUUCCGUCGGGCAUGCCUGUUCGAGCGUCAUUUGAAAAGUUCAGGCCGUCUGGCUUGGUGCUGGGUGUUUGUUCCGCCUCUGCGCGCGAACUCGCCUCAAACGAAUUGGCAGUUCGGUAGACCUGGCCCUGCGUGCAGCAGAUUGCACCGGCAGAUGCUUUGGCUGCCUACUCUCCAGUAAGCUACUCCAUUGUUUGACCUCGGAUCAGGUAGGGAUACCCGCUGAACUUAA
This 255-nucleotide unclassified non-coding RNA is filed under the name uncultured Ascomycota. RNAcentral's name for it is "sequence contains ITS2". The record is from RNAcentral. Lineage: Eukaryota; Fungi; Ascomycota.